UAUGUACUCCCUCCGUUCGGAAUUACAUGUCUCGGAAAUGGAUGUAUCUAGAUACAUCCAUUUCCGAGACAUGUAAUUCCGAACGGAGGGAGUACGUA
This is a non-coding RNA of Triticum aestivum (bread wheat), 98 nucleotides long. The record is from Rfam. NCBI's taxonomy places the organism in Eukaryota, Viridiplantae, Streptophyta, Magnoliopsida, Poales, Poaceae.